CGAACUUGACCAUGUUGUAGAAGAGCUUGAGAAAAUUGCUGUAGUCAAUCUCCUUCAGCAUAGAUCAAUUAUAUCUCUCAUUGGGAAUGUUCAGAGGUCAUCAUUGAUAUUAGAGAAGGUAUUUAAUGUUCUUCGAACCAAUGGUGUCAAUGUUCAGAUGAUAUCGCAAGGUGCAUCUAAGGUCAAUAUAUCAUUAAUAGUGAAUGACAACGAAGCAGAACAGUGUGUGAGGUCUCUCCACAAAACAUUCUUUGAAAGCAACAUUUCUGAAAUAGAUUAAGAAUGUCAUCUUUAUCUGAUGAUACACUUAUUGUUAUCUCAUUGAUCCCAUUAGCAUGGAGCCCUCAAAGAUUACCAAUAUUUUGCAAUACAAUUAUAUUUUUUUUGAAGGCUUAGAGAAAUCUAUCUUGCCAAAUCAGGAUGUACCUAUGUAGCUUCAUUGUAUUUUUUAGUAAUUGAAAUUUCCAACUGUAAUGUCCUAGCCCAGGAAUGGAUGAUAAAAUGUUAGUCUCAUACUACCAAGUUGUACUUGGUACUUCUUACAGUGAUGCUGC
RNAcentral lists this unclassified non-coding RNA (554 nucleotides) under Hevea brasiliensis (rubber tree). The record is from RNAcentral. Lineage: Eukaryota; Viridiplantae; Streptophyta; Magnoliopsida; Malpighiales; Euphorbiaceae.